UAACCACACGAAACCGCCAGGGAAAUACGAGCCCAAGCUUAAAACCCAAAGGACUUGACGGUGUUCCACCCUUCUAGAGGAGCCUGUUCUAUAAUCGAUAAUCCCCGAUAAACCUCACCACCUCUCGAAUAAUCAGCCUGUAUACCUCCGUCGAAAGCCUACCAUGUGAACGUAACAAGUGGGCCCAAAGGUUUUAAACCAAAACGUCAGGUCAAGGUGCAGCCAAAGAGCUGGGAAGAAAUGGGCUACAAUCUCUAAAUUAGAGCACACGGAAAACUGCAUGCAAUACAGUAACUGAAGGUGGAUUUAGCAGUAAAAAGAAAAUAGAGAGUUCUUUUUAAUUAGGCACUGGAACGCGUACACACCGCCCGUCACCCUCUUCAAAUUUAAUUAAUAAUGUUAUUUAACUACACUUUAUUCAACAGAAGAGGCAAGUCGUAACAUGGUAAGCGUACUGGAAAGUGUGCUUGGUAUAACAAAAUGUAGCUUAAUAAAGCAUCUUGCUUACACCAAGAAUAUGUCUGUGCAACCCUAACCAUUUUGAGCUAAAACCUAAGCCCCCCCAAAAUUCAAAUGAAAUAACUUUAAAAAUAAAAUUAAAUAAAACAUUCUAUUAACUUAGUAAAGGUGAUUAAAAAGUAUCAAGGAGCUAUAACAUAAGUACCGCAAGGGAAAACUGAAAUAAAAAUGAAAUAAAUUAAGCCAAAUAAA
RNAcentral lists this ribosomal RNA (711 nucleotides) under Xenorhina sp. 2 ENR-2011. Its description in RNAcentral is "partial 12S ribosomal RNA". The stretch from base 1 to 483 matches the Rfam family "Bacterial small subunit ribosomal RNA", at positions 852 to 1533 of the family's 1533-position model. Lineage: Eukaryota; Metazoa; Chordata; Amphibia; Anura; Microhylidae. The record is from RNAcentral.